GACUGCAGUGGCCUAGCGGUUAGAGCAUCUGCCUCAGAUGCGUGAGGUUGUGGGUUCGAUCCCCAGCUGAGUCA
Non-coding RNA from Potamilus streckersoni, 74 nucleotides. NCBI's taxonomy places the organism in Eukaryota, Metazoa, Mollusca, Bivalvia, Unionida, Unionidae. The record is from the annotation of a GenBank genome assembly.